UACAGAGACUGCAAGCGUUAUUCGGAUUCACUGGGCGUAAAGGGUGCGCAGGCGGCCAAUUGUGUGAGGCGUGAAAGCCUGGGGCUUAACUCCAGAAUUGCACCUCAAACUACAUGGCUAGAGCAUUGGAGAGGGUAGCAGAAUUCACGGUGUAGCAGUGAAAUGCGUAGAUAUCGUGAGGAAUACCAGAGGCGAAGGCGGCUACCUGGACAAUUGCUGACGCUCAGGCACGAAAGCGUGGGGAGCAAAAGGG
RNAcentral lists this ribosomal RNA (253 nucleotides) under uncultured bacterium. RNAcentral's name for it is "partial 16S ribosomal RNA". It matches the Rfam family "Bacterial small subunit ribosomal RNA", at positions 524 to 776 of the family's 1533-position model. The record is from RNAcentral.